This 447-nucleotide ribosomal RNA is filed under the name uncultured bacterium. RNAcentral's name for it is "partial 16S ribosomal RNA". It matches the Rfam family "Bacterial small subunit ribosomal RNA", at positions 29 to 523 of the family's 1533-position model. The record is from RNAcentral.
AACGAACGCUGGCGGCAGGCUUAACACAUGCAAGUCGAACGCCCCGCAAGGGAAGUGGCAGACGGGUGAGUAACGCGUGGGAAUCUACCCAUCUCUGCGGAAUAGCUCCGGGAAACUGGAAUUAAUACCGCAUACGCCCUACGGGGGAAAGAUUUAUCGGGGAUGGAUGAGCCCGCGUUGGAUUAGCUAGUUGGUGGGGUAAAGGCCUACCAAGGCGACGAUCCAUAGCUGGUCUGAGAGGAUGAUCAGCCACAUUGGGACUGAGACACGGCCCAAAUUCCUACGGGAGGCAGCAGUGGGGAAUAUUGGACAAUGGGCGCAAGCCUGAUCUAGCCAUGCCGCGUGAGUGAUGAAGGCCUUAGGGUUGUAAAGCUCUUUCACCGAUGAAGAUAAUGACGGUAGUCGGAGAAGAAGCCCCGGCUAACUUCGUGCCAGCCGCCGCCGUAA